Molecule: ribosomal RNA, 16 nt
Filed under: Scaphochlamys biloba
Lineage: Eukaryota; Viridiplantae; Streptophyta; Magnoliopsida; Zingiberales; Zingiberaceae
Description: partial 26S ribosomal RNA
Source: RNAcentral
GCGAGCCACCCGCUGA